RNAcentral lists this ribosomal RNA (421 nucleotides) under uncultured soil bacterium. Its description in RNAcentral is "bacterial SSU rRNA". It matches the Rfam family "Bacterial small subunit ribosomal RNA", at positions 26 to 439 of the family's 1533-position model. The record is from RNAcentral.
AGGACGAACGCUGGCGGCGUGCUUAACACAUGCAAGUCGAGCGGUAAGGCCUUUCGGGGUACACGAGCGGCGAACGGGUGAGUAACACGUGGGUGAUCUGCCCUGCACUUCGGGAUAAGCCUGGGAAACUGGGUCUAAUACCGGAUAUGACCUCCUAUCGCAUGGUGGGUGGUGGAAAGAUUUAUCGGUGCAGGAUGGGCCCGCGGCCUAUCAGUCUUGUUGGGUGGGUAAUGGCCUACCAAGGCGACGACGGGUAGCCGACCUGAGAGGGUGACCGGCCACACUGGGACUGAGACACGGCCCAGACUCCUAACGGGAGGCAGCGAGUGGGGAAUAUGCACAAGUGGGACGAAAGCCUGAAUGCAGCGACCGCCGCGUCGGAGGAUCGACGGUCCUUCCGGGGUUAGUAACCUUCGUUUAC